This is a non-coding RNA of Paramuricea clavata, 220 nucleotides long. Lineage: Eukaryota; Metazoa; Cnidaria; Anthozoa; Malacalcyonacea; Plexauridae. The record is from the annotation of a GenBank genome assembly.
AAAAAUAUGGGUCCUAUCUCGUCACGUGUGUAUUGUAUUUUUUUCGAAAUCAACCAAUAGCAAUGUGUAGAUUGACCAAUUGUUUCAGUCACGGAUGAACAGCUGAGUUCGAACAUUCAGCUAUUGGUUGUUUACGAUAAAAUACAAUACACACGUGACGAGAACGGAACAACUUUUUGCAUAAACAAGGACAAUAAGAUAGAUAAUGAGUUGUAUUGUG